AUAUCAGUCAUGCAUAGCAUAUCAAUAAGCGGAGGAAAAGAAACUAACAAGGAUUCCCUUAGUAACGGCGAGUGAAGCGGGAAGAGCUCAAAUUUGAAAUCUUCAAGGUUUUACCUUGACGAAUUGUAGUUUAAAGAAGUGUUUUCUGUUGAAGUUUUGGUAAAAGUUCUUUGGAAUAGGACAUCAUAGAGGGUGAGAAUCCCGUAUUUGACCAUUACUUUCAGCUUUGUGAUACACUUUCAAAGAGUCGGAUUGUUUGGGAAUGCAGUCCGAAAUGGGUGGUAAAUUUCAUCUAAAGCUAAAUAUUGGCGAGAGACCGAUAGCGAACAAGUACCGUGAGGGAAAGAUGAAAAGAACUUUGAAAAGAGAGUUAAACAGUACGUGAAAUUGUCAAAAGGGAAGCGUUUGACACCAGUGUUGUUUUCUCGAAAAUCAAUUAAAAAGAGUUGGAUUUUGUGUUGUAUUGACUUUAUCAGGCUUUCUUCACUCUUUUCCAGCUUUUUUUAAUGCACUUUUCGUUUAACAAGUCAACAUCAGUUUCUUUUGUUGUAAAAAGGUCAUUGGAAGGUGGCUUUCUCUUCGGAGAAAGUGUUUAUAGCCUUUGACUCAUGCAAUCGGAGAGACUGAGGUCUGCAGCGUAGAUCCUUCGGGGUUAGAUACAUUUGUGCUAAGUUAUAGCUUUUCAUAGACAACUUGUUGACUAUGUUUAGUCUUGUAGCUUACUCGCUUAUGCUAUUUUACCUACGCUUAGGAUGUUGAACUCUAUCACACACA
Molecule: ribosomal RNA, 774 nt
Filed under: uncultured Neocallimastigales
Lineage: Eukaryota; Fungi; Neocallimastigomycota; Neocallimastigomycetes; Neocallimastigales
Description: partial large subunit ribosomal RNA
Rfam family: Eukaryotic large subunit ribosomal RNA
Source: RNAcentral